RNAcentral lists this long non-coding RNA (1111 nucleotides) under Lactuca sativa (garden lettuce). Its description in RNAcentral is "long non-coding RNA (LSAT_LNC007094)". The record is from RNAcentral. Lineage: Eukaryota; Viridiplantae; Streptophyta; Magnoliopsida; Asterales; Asteraceae.
AAUAAACCUAAGUUUGGGAAAAGGGUUUAUUUGAAAUGAAUGUUUAGCUGGGGGGUUAUUUGGUCAUUUUAUGAAAGUUAAAAGGAUUCUAGGGAUUUUAUGUUUGCGUCCUCAUCAUCUCUUGAUCGAGCAUAGGAAAAGAAACACGAACGUCAGCCGGCAAGAAAUUCACGAAGGCUCGCAGACACGAAUCGGAUGUUUUGGUCGAUCGAUUGCGAGAAGGGUGUUUCUCCGGGGGUCGACGAGGUCAAAGGGAAGGAAGGGACGAAGCAGCGAGGUUUCGCUAUUUCUCGUCCGGCUGUGAGGUGCGAAGGGAGGAGGAGGAAAUGGGUCCGAUUGAAGCGAUGAGAGCAGCAACGGCAGAGCAGGCGAGGCAUCUGCGGUCGUUGGUCGAUGGGAGCAGAAGAGAGAGUGCGAGGAGAGGAGGUCAGAAGAAGGGUCCGGGAGGAGAUAGGCAGCAACGACCGUUUGGGCUGCUGAGAGGGAAAGGAAAGUGCGAGAGGCGGGGGGGCUGCCUCGAUGGUUCACCGUAGCACCAUCACUGCGGGUGGUUCAUGACAGGGGACGAAAAAACAGGCAGAAAAACAAGGAAGAAAGGUAAAAAAAUAAUAAUAAUAAUAAAUCAUCUUUGUUUCGAUUAACAGCAAAGUAAAUAGGAAAAAAAAAAAGGUGCCAUUCUCUUGAUUUCACAAGUAAUCGACCACUCUAAUUGGUGUGUUCUUGACAGGUACUCAAAGAAGAAUGUAGAACAACAAUAAAAAUCUUUAGGGUGUUUGGGUGUUGCUGUGAAAUCGGUGGGAAGGAAGGAAGGGGUUUGAAAGAGGGUUGUUGUCCUCUUGGUUGCACAGGUAACUACUCCUCUAGUGGUGUGUGUUCUUGGCUGAAAUCGAAGGAGAAGAAGAAAAGAAACAACAAUUUUUGUGGUGUUUGUUCUUGGCUGAUCACGAAGAAAAAAAAAUGGUGUUGAAUUUUUUUUAUUAUGAUUGUACAUGUUUGAGUGUUGAUUUUUAUCGGUGUACGUGUUUGAGUGUUGUCUUCGUUGAAGAAAGAGUGCAAGAAUCCAUUUUUUUAGUGUAGAAUUGAUGUCCCUUAAAUGAGAUUUAGAAGUAAC